UACGUAGGGUGCAAGCGUUGUCCGGAAUUAUUGGGCGUAAAGAGCUCGUAGGCGGUCUGUCACGUCGGAUGUGAAAACUCGGGGCUCAACCCCGAGCCUGCAUACGAUACGGGCAGACUUGAGUUCGGCAGGGGAGACUGGAAUUCCUGGUGUAGCGGUGAAAUGCGCAGAUAUCAGGAGGAACACCGGUGGCGAAGGCGGGUCUCUGGGCCGAUACUGACGCUGAGGAACGAAAGCGUGGGGAGCGAACAGG
Molecule: ribosomal RNA, 253 nt
Filed under: uncultured bacterium
Lineage: Bacteria
Description: partial 16S ribosomal RNA
Rfam family: Bacterial small subunit ribosomal RNA
Source: RNAcentral